RNAcentral lists this ribosomal RNA (495 nucleotides) under uncultured bacterium. Its description in RNAcentral is "partial 16S ribosomal RNA". It matches the Rfam family "Bacterial small subunit ribosomal RNA", at positions 28 to 505 of the family's 1533-position model. The record is from RNAcentral.
GAUGAACGCUGGCGGCGUGCCUAAUACAUGCAAGUCGAGCGAACAGAUGAGGAGCUUGCUCCUCUGACGUUAGCGGCGGACGGGUGAGUAACACGUGGAUAACCUACCUAUAAGACUGGGAUAACUUCGGGAAACCGGAGCUAAUACCGGAUAAUAUAUUGAACCGCAUGGUUCAAUAGUGAAAGACGGUUUUGCUGUCACUUAUAGAUGGAUCCGCGCCGCAUUAGCUAGUUGGUAAGGUAACGGCUUACCAAGGCAACGAUGCGUAGCCGACCUGAGAGGGUGUGGGGACACCAGGAAUGUGAGACGCGGUCCAGACCCCGACGGGGGGAAGGAUGAGGGACUUUUCCGAAAGGGGCGAACGCCUGAGGGAGAAACGCCGGGGGGGUGAAGAAGGUUUUGGGAUUGAAAAACUCUUUUUUUGGGGAAAAACAAAUGUGAAAGAAACUAUGCACCUUUGGGGGGUCCCAAAACAGAAAGCCCGGGCAAACCCCG